This 253-nucleotide ribosomal RNA is filed under the name uncultured bacterium. RNAcentral's name for it is "partial 16S ribosomal RNA". It matches the Rfam family "Bacterial small subunit ribosomal RNA", at positions 524 to 776 of the family's 1533-position model. The record is from RNAcentral.
UACGUAGGGGGCAAGCGUUGUCCGGAUUUAUUGGGCGUAAAGGGCUCGUAGGCGGCCAACUAAGUCGGACGUGAAAUCCCUCGGCUUAACCGGGGAACUGCGUCCGAUACUGGAUGGCUUGAGUUCGGGAGAGGGAUGCGGAAUUCCAGGUGUAGCGGUGAAAUGCGUAGAUAUCUGGAGGAACACCGGUGGCGAAGGCGGCAUCCUGGACCGACACUGACGCUGAGGAGCGAAAGCCAGGGGAGCAAACGGG